UGGCUCAGAGGUUAAAGUGUCUGCCUGGAAUGCAGGAGACCCAGGUUCAAUCCCUGG
RNAcentral lists this transfer RNA (57 nucleotides) under Bos taurus (domestic cattle). It matches the Rfam family "tRNA", at positions 8 to 63 of the family's 71-position model. From Rfam's summary of the family: Transfer RNA (tRNA) molecules are approximately 80 nucleotides in length. Their secondary structure includes four short double-helical elements and three loops (D, anti-codon, and T loops). Lineage: Eukaryota; Metazoa; Chordata; Mammalia; Artiodactyla; Bovidae. RNAcentral also lists the same sequence under 5 other names. The record is from Rfam by way of RNAcentral.